Molecule: ribosomal RNA, 497 nt
Filed under: uncultured bacterium
Lineage: Bacteria
Description: partial 16S ribosomal RNA
Rfam family: Bacterial small subunit ribosomal RNA
Source: RNAcentral
GAUGAACGCUGGCGGCGUGCCUAAUACAUGCAAGUCGAGCGAACAGACGAGGAGCUUGCUCCUCUGACGUUAGCGGCGGACGGGUGAGUAACACGUGGAUAACCUACCUAUAAGACUGGGAUAACUUCGGGAAACCGGAGCUAAUACCGGAUAAUAUAUUGAACCGCGUGGUUCAAUAGUGAAAGACGGUUUUGCUGUCACUUAUAGAUGGAUCCGCGCCGCAUUAGCUAGUUGGUAAGGUAACGGCUUACCAAGGCAACGAUGCGUAGCCGACCUGAGAGGGUGAUCGGCCACACUGGAACUGAGACACGGUCCAGACUCCUACGGGAGGCAGCAGUAGGGAAUCUUCCGCAAUGGGCGAAAGCCUGACGGAGCAACGCCGCGUGAGUGAUGAAGGUCUUCGGAUCGUAGAACUCUGUUAUUAGGGAAGAACAAAUGUGUAAGUAACUAUGCACGUCUUGACGGUACCUAAUCAGAAAGCCACGGCUAACUACGUG